This 491-nucleotide ribosomal RNA is filed under the name uncultured bacterium. RNAcentral describes it as "partial 16S ribosomal RNA". It matches the Rfam family "Bacterial small subunit ribosomal RNA", at positions 29 to 506 of the family's 1533-position model. The record is from RNAcentral.
AGUGAACGCUGGCGGUAGGCCUAACACAUGCAAGUCGAACGGCAGCACAGUAAGAGCUUGCUCUUACGGGUGGCGAGUGGCGGACGGGUGAGGAAUACAUCGGAAUCUACUUUUUCGUGGGGGAUAACGUAGGGAAACUUACGCUAAUACCGCAUACGACCUACGGGUGAAAGCAGGGGAUCUUCGGACCUUGCGCGAUUGAAUGAGCCGAUGUCGGAUUAGCUAGUUGGCGGGGUAAAGGCCCACCAAGGCGAUGAUCCGUAGCUGGUCUGAGAGGAUGAUCAGCCACACUGGAACUGAGACACGGUCCAGACUCCUACGGGAGGCAGCAGUGGGGAAUAUUGGACAAUGGGCGCAAGCCUGAUCCAGCCAUACCGCGUGGGUGAAGAAGGCCUUCGGGUUGUAAAGCCCUUUUGUUGGGAAAGAAAAGCAGCAGGUUAAUACCCCGCUGUUCUGACGGUACCCAAAGAAUAAACACCGGCUAACUUCGU